UUUUUUUUUUUCUCGUGUUAUGCUGUCAAAAUCAUCGCCAUGUUAGCCUAUACCUAGGGUAUUUUCACUGCCCUCUUUCCUUUUUUUUCAUCAUAACCUUUUCCAAAACCGAAUGUGUUGUUCUUCCACCUCUUAUUUCUUGGUUUCGAAUAUCAAAUCCAGUGCCUUCGAAUUGUGUUGGGUAGGACUCGAAAUUGGGCGCAGAGAGAAGUUUCAGUUUGGAUUGCUGUUUGGUUUGAAUUCUUUAUUUAUAUUUUCUUUCUCAAAUUUGAUUCUCACAAUGGACGACGGUGAGGUUGACUUUUCGAACCAAGAAGUGUUUUCUAGUCCAAAUAUGGCUGGCGAGCUUCCCAGCAGUUGCUCGAUGGACAGUUUCUUUGAUGAGCUUCUGAAAGACUCUCAUGCUUGUACUCACACCCACACUUGCAACCCACCCGGUCCUGAUUACUCUCAUACCCACACUUGUUUUCAUGUCCAUACAAAAAUUGUGCCUGCUGCAACUGAAGGCAACAACACUGCAACAGAUGAUUCUGCAGAUUCUGUAGGAAAGAACUCGAAAAAACGCCCUUUGGGAAACCGGGAAGCAGUGCGCAAAUACCGUGAGAAGAAGAAGGCAAGAGCAGCAUCUUUGGAGGAUGAAGUUGUAAGAUUGAGAACUCUUAAUCAGCAGUUGGUCAAAAGAUUGCAAGGUCAAGCUGCUUUGGAGGCUGAGGUUGCAAGGCUCAAGUGUUUACUUGUGGAUAUUCGUGGAAGAAUUGAAGGGGAAAUUGGAUCUUUUCCGUAUCAGAAAUCUGUGAAUCACACCAUUCCAAACCCAACCAUGCCUGGUUCAUACAUGGUGAACCCCUGUAAUGUACAAUGUAACGAUCAGGUGUAUUGUCUUCAUCCUGGGGUGGAUGACAAAUGUGACGAUGACUCCUUGAAUGACCAAGGUAUAAAUGCUUGCGAAUUUGAGAGUCUCCAAUGUUUGGCAAAUCAGAACUCAGCUUCCAUGGACCUUUCUGGUUGUGGAGUUGGCAAUGUGAGUGUAUCAGCUCGUGCUAAAUCUUCUGCCUCAAACAAGAGGAAAGGAGGGGCCCAUGCAGCAACUGCAAGUUGAAAUGGCUGAUAAGGCAACGUGAAGCUGUGUUAACUGUUAGAGAUACAUAUUCUAUUCUAAUAAGUAGUUGGCGAACUGCAGCAUCGGCCGGUCCUCGCUCAGAACAUAGGAAGUUGGGAUGUCUUUCAUGUUUCAUUCUAUGAGCUGUGUGAACAAGGUGAGUCACAAACUCCCGUAAUGAGAUUCGUAUUUGUGAUUUUGUGAAGGGACUAGAAUUUAGAAUAUUUUUUGCUUCUGCUUUACCAUUUUUUUCCUUCUAAUGGAAGAAUUAGCCAAACAAUUCGUCUCAGUGACAUUGUAAGACUGAGGAGGAAUUGAUGAAUUGCCAUUGCUAUCUUGACUGAUGAGUACAAUUGAGACCUCUAGCAUGGCCUAUUAGGCGGACAACAAAGAUGGAUGGAGUGGUAGCGUCCAAAAGAUAUUUAUCUCAUGAAAGAUGAACUUGUUAAAUACAACAUGAUUUCAUUUCGGACUCGGAUCUUUAAGUUUUUGGAGCUCUAAUGCGUCCGUUACUUGUGGUAAUUUCAUACUCACUAGUCACUAUUACCACACAAUACAAACAUAAAUCUAAGAAAGUGAAGUAUCAAAAAUAAAAAGUCAGGGUAUUCCUAAGUAAAUCUUCUUAUUAUAGUUUGUACUCUUUAAGCACACAUUUGCGCUAAAGAGGAGCUGGUAUUACAACACCAUGAUUUGUAAAGAUUACAGCAAAGACCAAUUGUUGCGUUUGAAGAUGCUUUGCAAGUUAGAUUAAGUGAGAUUAUCUCUAUAUAUCUUGGUUUUCACGUUUAAAGCAGAUUGAGCGAUUUUCCGGACCUGAAGAGCAUGGUCCUCUCCUCUCCCUACCACACUAAAGAUUAACAUGUUUGUAUGACCAACAUGACAAAACAUCAGUUCUGAUUUAUCGUUCUUUAACAUAAGCCUUUACACGCCGAAACGUGUUGUUGGUCCCAAAGAAUCACUGUACUGUUCCAUCUAAACUAGCAAAGCCAAAUAUAUCUUCAUUGUUGAGAUUG
This is an RNA transcript of Cannabis sativa, 2112 nucleotides long. It is a transcript of the gene named basic leucine zipper 23-like, with no coding region annotated. The transcript has 4 exons. The record is from RefSeq and is a predicted model, not a curated record. NCBI's taxonomy places the organism in Eukaryota, Viridiplantae, Streptophyta, Magnoliopsida, Rosales, Cannabaceae.